GGGCAGGGCUGCUGGGCUGAAGCGGGAGCUGAGCUCCUGUGCCCGAGGGCGGGCCGGCCCGGGCGGUGUAGGCGUUCCUGUAAGGGGCGAGCGCUGCCUGCCCUGCGAGCCUGCCCCUUCCAGCCCCGUCAGCCUCCGCCGCAACUGGCGCGGCUGAAUCAAAAUUGGGAAGCUUUGUAAAAUAGGUUGAAGGCAAGACACGGUUGUUUGGAUUUUUCUGUGUUGAAGGAGGACUUACGGGUCUGUGAGAUAUUUCUUCCCUUAGGCAACAGUCGGAUGUUGUGAUCCCAUUUUCUAAUAUCUUCCAUAUAUUCUCUCCUUUUUUCCCUGUCCGCCUCCCGAAACACACAGCGCUGCAACACGUGAUAUUUGAAAGAUAGUAUGUGUGUAUUUCUACCAGCAUUCCUUGACUCUGUGACCAACAUGUAAUUUUCUGCACCAGAAGACAAGAAGGACACAGCAGUUGUUAAGAAAUAAGCCAUGUCUGUUGCAGCUGAUAUAACUGUGGGGGACCUGCCUGUGAGACAUACAGGUCUAACUCCAGCUGGAAUUGAAGGAUUACAAGAAUCAUCAACUGCACAGAAUAAAAGCUCAACAAGCCAGGUAACAAACCAGUCAAGAAGAACUGGAGGACAGGUUUCUUCAUGUUCAUGAUGGUCACAUCUUACUCAAGCAGCAUGCAAAUGAACAAGAGGAGAAAACUAAAAGCAUUCCUUGCCAAAAGCCUUUUAACUAGAAGUUUGGAAUGAAUUUGCAGUAGAAGAACAUUGAAAAAACUCCAUGUAAACAAAAAACCUGCUUACAGGCAAGUAACAUUCUGUGACAUCCUGAAGUUAUUAGGGUUUUUUUUUUUUUUGUUUCACUUUUGUUCUUUUAAGUAGAAGCUUCUGUCCACAAGUAUACAAAAAUAAAACAAGUCCCUUCAAACA
Molecule: long non-coding RNA, 929 nt
Filed under: Serinus canaria (Common canary)
Lineage: Eukaryota; Metazoa; Chordata; Aves; Passeriformes; Fringillidae
Description: lncRNA (ENSSCAG00000004839.1)
Source: RNAcentral